UUUAUCCUACGGGGGGCAGCAGUGGGGGAUAUUGCACAAUGGGGGGAACCCUGAUGCAGCGACGCCGCGUGGGUGAAGGAGUAUUUCGGUAUGUAAAGCCCUAUCGGCAGGGAAGAAGCAAGACGGUACCCGACUAAGAAGCCCCGGCUAACUACGUGCCAGCAGCCGCGGUAAUACGUAGGGGGCAAGCGUUGUUCGGAAUGACUGGGCGUAAAGGGUGUGUAGGCGGUGUAGCAAGUUAGAAGUGAAAUACCUA
RNAcentral lists this ribosomal RNA (256 nucleotides) under uncultured bacterium. RNAcentral's name for it is "partial 16S ribosomal RNA". It matches the Rfam family "Bacterial small subunit ribosomal RNA", at positions 333 to 605 of the family's 1533-position model. The record is from RNAcentral.